UAUGUGAUCGUCUCUCGCAUAUCAAUAAGCGGAGGAAAAGAAAAUAACAAGGAUUUCCCUAGUAACGGCGAGUGAAGCAGGGAAGAGCUCAAAGUUGGAACCUGCUUGACUUAGUUAAGCCGGAUUGUAAACUGUAGAAACGUUUUCUAGGCAAGCCGAGUUAAAAAGUCCUUUGGAACAGGGCAUCAUAGAGGGUGAGAAUCCCGUAUUUGACCUUUACUUUCAACUUUGUGAUACACUUUCAAAGAGUCGGAUUGUUUGGGAAUGCAGUCCAAAAUGGGUGGUAAAUUUCAUCUAAAGCUAAAUAUUGGCGAGAGACCGAUAGCGAACAAGUACCGUGAGGGAAAGAUGAAAAGAACUUUGAAAAGAGAGUUAAACAGUACGUGAAAUUGUCAAAAGGGAAGCGUUUGACACCAGUGUUGUUUUUCUGAAAAUCAAUUAAAGAACUGUUUAUGCUAAGCUGUUUAGACUUUAUCAGCUAUCUGUUUAGUUUUGAGCUUUUCUUUAAUGCACUUUUCAGUUAACAAGUCAACAUCAAUUUCUUUUGCUGUAAAAAAGCUUGAGGAAGGUGGCUUGAGAUUCGUCUUAAGUGUUUAUAGCCUCUUGCCCUAUGCAGUCGGAGAGAUUGAGGUCUGCAGCGUAGAUCCUUCGGGGCUAAAUGCAUUUGUGCUAAGUUAUAGCAUUUUAUAGACAACUUGUUGACUAUGAUUUGUCUUGUAGCUUACUCGCUUAUGUUAUUUUACCUACGCUUAGGAUGUUGAAGAUAUGCGCGACACG
RNAcentral lists this ribosomal RNA (777 nucleotides) under uncultured Neocallimastigales. Its description in RNAcentral is "partial large subunit ribosomal RNA". It matches the Rfam family "Eukaryotic large subunit ribosomal RNA", at positions 24 to 644 of the family's 3401-position model. The record is from RNAcentral. Lineage: Eukaryota; Fungi; Neocallimastigomycota; Neocallimastigomycetes; Neocallimastigales.